CCGCCAAGAUUUACUUAAAAUCCAACAACGAGAAUGAUGGAUCCCAGCUAAAAGAUCAUUGGCUAUCUAUUUUUUUCCCUGAAGCAAUGUGUUAGCGCAUUGAUCAAUCGAACUCGCAAGCAUUUCUAUAUCAAUCUUGUUUGUCAAGUUUAGUUGAUCAAAACUAUAUACUUGAUUUCUUGUAUGCUUAUAGGUAUAUCUCGUACUAGGAUAGAAUGUGUGGUUGAUAUUUAGACUUUACGAUGCUCACAAUUGAAGACGAAGAUCUACCGAAGAACUUGGAGGAACUUCAUCAACAAAAGUUGUUGAUACAUGAAAAAUAAUACCCCUUAACGGGUUCAGAAGUGUCCUUAAACGGAGAGGAAAGCCCAACGUAAGGAAUGGGGAAUCGUGAACUAGGCCCAAGUCCAAUAAGAUGACCUUCAUUGAAAGAAGGAUGAGUAAGGAAUUAAUCAAAAAGGAGAAGGUUAUGUUAGGGAAUGUAUGACAUUAGAGGUAAUUAAGGAGGUUUAGGACAUGUGGCAUGAUGUCAUAAAAAAUGGGCUUUUGGAAAGUCUAUAAAAUGGAGGAAAAAGUACAAUGGAAGGUCAACUUUAUCUCUUACUAUUCCUAAAAAUUAAGAUCACAUGGUGUACUAGGACUGGUAGGACCUAAACCGAAUUCAGGUAUUAACAUUUGGAGGCCACACCCGAAGGCUCGUGCCUAGCCCACCAUGACACACCUAGGAAACGCCAGCUCAAAUGCGAUGGAAAGUCAACCGAACAACCGACCCAUCAACAUGGACGAGGUAACAUUAGAGGACGGAGACAGUGAGGCGGAGGCUCUGGACAAAGAUUCCAUUGUGCAACCAACAGGACGCGCGCCCCAAAGCAGAGGUAAAGGGGCAACGCAGGAGAAGAAUGCACAAAAAAUCCAGAAACCAGGGUCAUCACCUCCAGUCCUACAAGACAUACAAAAGGAGUUAGAAGAGCGAUCACAAAGGAAGAAAGAUCUAAAAAACUGGAUAGCUCAAGCUGUAAUAGCAGGUCAAAGUGCUCCUAGAGAAACAUCGAAAGGAGAGGAACACUAAAAUAUCAAAUGAACGGUGACAUCGUAGGAGAAGAUGGUGAAGUACUUCGAACACAAUUAACACGUAGUAAAACAAGAUAACCACCGCCAGGAAAGCAUCCCAUACCCAACAAAUAUCCGAGAAUAUCAGUACCUGAGGGCUACGUUUCUCCGAAAUUCAAGACAUAUGAUGGACAAGGAAACAUGCGGAACACCUUAGCCGCUUCCUUUCAGCAAUGAACGAUAAGGUAUCUGAUGGAAAGCUGUGUCUAAGGGAAUUCCCUAAAUCAUUGACAGGCACGACAUUCACUUGGUAUGACAAUUUAAAAGCGGAGAGUGUAGAUUCUUGGCAUACCAUGUCCUCAUCGUUCCUAGGAAAGUUCUACUCUGCAAAAAGGAAAAUCACAUCAAUAGACUUAAGAAAGGGUUGCCAGCGGAUAGGCGAGGAAGUUGGAAAAUAUAUUAUGCGGUUCCGCCGAUUGAAUUUGGAUUGUCACGAAGAUAUCAGCGAGGAAGCACUCGUGGAAAUCUAUGUAUGAGGAAUGAUACCAGCCUUCAAAAGGAUCCUAAUCAACUUCAGAUUUUAAACCUUUGUCGAGAUGGAAGAUGCAGCCGAAAGGAUCGCUGAUUGCAUAGAAGGAAUACCUGCAGAUCCAUCUUGGCAUCACACAGUUAGUACCGCGUAUGAAGCGCCUCGUAACGUAAGGCCCAACAACAAUAAGGAGAGCGGAGACCCGAUAUCAAGUAGUCGACACAGCCCAACGGAGGAGCCGAUGGACUAGGAAAGACUCAAACCCACCCCCUCCGCUGCCGUGUGGAAGAGAGCAGGCGAUCGGACUCCUGAACCAGUGGGUCAUCAGAGGAGAAAUUCAAUUACCUCCAACAGUAGUAGAUGUCAACAAAAUGAACAAGGAUGCAACAAAAUACCGCCACUAUCACCAGAGAUUGGGACAUCCGACAGUAGAAUAUUUUGCUAUAAUAAGUAUAUUCGAUCGGAAACACACAUCUGGAGAGCUCGAGAUAACGAAAUAGGCGAUUUAACACGACACCUUUCCGCGCCAUUGAAAA
This is a long non-coding RNA of Papaver somniferum (opium poppy), 2115 nucleotides long. RefSeq lists it as uncharacterized. The record is from RefSeq and is a predicted model, not a curated record. The transcript is spliced from 2 exons. Lineage: Eukaryota; Viridiplantae; Streptophyta; Magnoliopsida; Ranunculales; Papaveraceae.